AUACGGAGGAUCCGAGCGUUAUCCGGAUUUAUUGGGUUUAAAGGGUGCGCAGGCGGGAUGUUAAGUCGGCGGUGAAAUUUUGCAGCUCAACUGUAAAAGUGCCUUCGAUACUGGCUUUCUUGAGUGUGGAUGAAGUAGGCGGAAUUUGUGGUGUAGCGGUGAAAUGCUUAGAUAUCACGAGGAACUCCGAUUGCGCAGGCAGCUUACUAAACCACUACUGACGCUCAUGCACGAAGGCGUGGGGAUCAAACAGGAUUAGAUACCCUGGUAGUCCACGCAGUAAACGAUGAUUACUAGUUGUUUGCGAUACAAUGUAAGCGACUGAGCGAAAGCGUUAAGUAAUCCACCUGGGGAGUACGUUCGCAAGAAUGAAACUCAAAUGAAUUGACGGGG
RNAcentral lists this ribosomal RNA (393 nucleotides) under uncultured bacterium. RNAcentral's name for it is "partial 16S ribosomal RNA". It matches the Rfam family "Bacterial small subunit ribosomal RNA", at positions 523 to 918 of the family's 1533-position model. The record is from RNAcentral.